Molecule: transfer-messenger RNA, 143 nt
Filed under: Clostridia bacterium
Lineage: Bacteria; Bacillati; Bacillota; Clostridia
Description: partial transfer-messenger RNA
Rfam family: transfer-messenger RNA
About the family: Bacterial tmRNA, also known as 10Sa RNA or SsrA, is named for its dual tRNA and mRNA-like properties. Its role is to liberate the mRNA from a stalled ribosome.
Source: RNAcentral
GGGGGCGUAAUGGUUUCGACAGGGAUUCUGACAUAUGAUAAGCGUGGCGGGCCGGCUAAUCCCGUAUAAUGGCCAACUUAAAAAAUAAACGACAACAAUACAGUUGCUAUGGCUGCCUAAAGUGGUUUAAGCCUUCGGGCUUA